Molecule: ribosomal RNA, 1395 nt
Filed under: uncultured bacterium
Lineage: Bacteria
Description: bacterial SSU rRNA
Rfam family: Bacterial small subunit ribosomal RNA
Source: RNAcentral
AGAGUUUGAUCCUGGCUCAGAUUGAUUGCUGGCGGCAGGCCUAACACAUGCAAGUCGAGCGGUAGAGAGAAGCUUGCUUCUCUUGAGAGCGGCGGACGGGUGAGUAAUGCCUAGGAAUCUGCCUGGUAGUGGGGGAUAACGUUCGGAAACGGACGCUAAUACCGCAUACGUCCUACGGGAGAAAGCAGGGGACCUUCGGGCCUUGCGCUAUCAGAUGAGCCUAGGUCGGAUUAGCUAGUUGGUGAGGUAAUGGCUCACCAGGGCGACGAUCCGUAACUGGUCUGAGAGGAUGAUCAGUCACACUGGAACUGAGACACGGUCCAGACUCCUACGGGAGGCAGCAGUGGGGAAUAUUGGACAAUGGGCGAAAGCCUGAUCCAGCCAUGCCGCGUGUGUGAAGAAGGUCUUCGGAUUGUAAAGCACUUUAAGUUGGGAGGAAGGGCAGUAAAUUAAUACCUUGCUGUUUUGACGUUACCGACAGAAUAAGCACCGGCUAACUCUGUGCCAGCAGCCGCGGUAAUACAGAGGGUGCAAGCGUUAAUCGGAAUUACUGGGCGUAAAGCGCGCGUAGGUGGUUUGUUAAGUUGGAUGUGAAAUCCCCGGGCUCAACCUGGGAACUGCAUUCAAAACUGACUGACUAGAGUAUGGUAGAGGGUGGUGGAAUUUCCUGUGUAGCGGUGAAAUGCGUAGAUAUAGGAAGGAACACCAGUGGCGAAGGCGACCACCUGGACUAAUACUGACACUGAGGUGCGAAAGCGUGGGGAGCAAACAGGAUUAGAUACCCUGGUAGUCCACGCCGUAAACGAUGUCAACUAGCCGUUGGAAGCCUUGAGCUUUUAGUGGCGCAGCUAACGCAUUAAGUUGACCGCCUGGGGAGUACGGCCGCAAGGUUAAAACUCAAAUGAAUUGACGGGGGCCCGCACAAGCGGUGGAGCAUGUGGUUUAAUUCGAAGCAACGCGAAGAACCUUACCAGGCCUUGACAUCCAAUGAACUUUCUAGAGAUAGAUUGGUGCCUUCGGGAACAUUGAGACAGGUGCUGCAUGGCUGUCGUCAGCUCGUGUCGUGGGAUGUUGGGUUAAGUCCCGUAACGAGCGCAACCCUUGUCCUUAGUUACCAGCACGUCAUGGUGGGCACUCUAAGGAGACUGCCGGUGACAAACCGGAGGAAGGUGGGGAUGACGUCAAGUCGUCAUGGCCCUUACGGCCUGGGCUACACACGUGCUACAAUGGUCGGUACAGAGGGUUGCCAAGCCGCGAGGUGGAGCUAAUCCCACAAAACCGAUCGUAGUCCGGAUCGCAGUCUGCAACUCGACUGCGUGAAGUCGGAAUCGCUAGUAAUCGCGAAUCAGAAUGUCGCGGUGAAUACGUUCCCGGGCCUUGCCCUCAACGGCCGUC